RNAcentral lists this ribosomal RNA (535 nucleotides) under uncultured Mycobacterium sp. RNAcentral describes it as "bacterial SSU rRNA". It matches the Rfam family "Bacterial small subunit ribosomal RNA", at positions 54 to 606 of the family's 1533-position model. The record is from RNAcentral. Lineage: Bacteria; Bacillati; Actinomycetota; Actinomycetes; Mycobacteriales; Mycobacteriaceae.
CAUGCAAGUCGAACGGAAAGGCCCUUCGGGGUACUCGAGUGGCGAACGGGUGAGUAACACGUGGGUGAUCUGCCCUGCACUCUGGGAUAAGCCUGGGAAACUGGGUCUAAUACCGGAUAGGACCACGCGCUUCAUGGUGUGUGGUGGAAAGCUUUUGCGGUGUGGGAUGGGCCCGCGGCCUAUCAGCUUGUUGGUGGGGUAAUGGCCUACCAAGGCGACGACGGGUAGCCGGCCUGAGAGGGUGACCGGCCACACUGGGACUGAGAUACGGCCCAGACUCCUACGGGAGGCAGCAGUGGGGAAUAUUGCACAAUGGGCGCAAGCCUGAUGCAGCGACGCCGCGUGAGGGAUGACGGCCUUCGGGUUGUAAACCUCUUUCGCCAGGGACGAAGAGAGAUUGACGGUACCUGGAGAAGAAGGACCGGCCAACUACGUGCCAGCAGCCGCGGUAAUACGUAGGGUCCGAGCGUUGUCCGGAAUUACUGGGCGUAAAGAGCUCGUAGGUGGUUUGUCGCGUUGUUCGUGAAAACUCACA